Molecule: non-coding RNA, 86 nt
Organism: Podarcis lilfordi (Lilford's wall lizard)
Lineage: Eukaryota; Metazoa; Chordata; Lepidosauria; Squamata; Lacertidae
Source: the annotation of a GenBank genome assembly
GCUAUGGCGGCAAACCGCUAUGUACAGUGCAUGUGUAGCAUCAUUAUGUACAGCACAUGCGCUGUACAUAGUGGUUUGCCGCUGGC